AUGGUGGAAUAUGGAUACAAGUUCUCAUCAAAGAAAAUAAAACAGGAACUCCGGUACACAUGCAUCUCUACUUUUCGCUUCAACUUUUUAGCUUUUUGCAUUGCUUCCAUGGACGCCGCCGCCGCCGCCGCCGUCACCACCCUCUCCGCGCUCGCCGUCUUCGCCAGCCCGCUCCACCAAGGCGCCGUGCGGAGCGUGCACGGGUACAGGGUCGUCGCGAUGGGAGGGAGGUGCGCGUGGGACCGGUGGGUGGAGCGGGAGUUCGCCUUCUCCCCCACCUCGUGCCGCGAGGUCCCGCUCCCCGCCGCCGCGCCGCGGAUACUCCCGGUCGAGUGGCGCGGCCGCCCGGCGUACCGCGAGGGCCAGGUGCUGGGCGCCUGGCGCUGCAUCCUCGCCUUCGAUUCCAUCGCCGCCGUCCCGCUGCCGCCCAUGCCUCCCCCGAUGCUGUGCCCCUUCCGGAACCCGAGUCUGGUGUUCGUGCCUUCGCUGUACAACGACCUGUACAUGGUGUUUCAGUUUCAGAAAUUUCAACAGGCCCCGGAGCUCGUCAAACGUGAUUCGGAUGAGAAAUCGACCCGUUUGGAUGCAGAGGAUAAAACCUCGCAUGCUGAGAGACGCCGGAGAGCCAAGAAGCAGCACAUAGCUAGCAUCACUCUAGUUGACAUAGCCCCGUACUUCCAUCUUCCAAUCAGAGAAGCAUCCAGGGCUCUGAAGAUCGGUGUCAGCAUACUGAAGCAGAAAUGCAGGCAAUACGGAAUACCCCGCUGGCCUCACAGGAAGAUCAAGUCCCUCGAUUCGCUGAUUAGUGAUCUGGAGUUUGUGAUGGACGACACAGAUGGAGAUGUUGUGCAGAAGGAGACUCGCAGGCAGAGGGAGAAGGAGAAAGAGGAGAAGGAGAAGGAGAAGCAGGAGGCGAUCCGAGCGCUGGCUAAGCGGAAGCGAUUGCUGGAGAGCGAGAAGGAGAUCAUCCAGCAGAAGCCUGCCCUGGACCUGAUGGCUGAAACCAAGCUGUUCAGGGAGGACGUUUUCAAGAGGAGAUACAGAGCUAAAAGAUUACCUGGUCGAUGA
Molecule: ribosomal RNA, 1068 nt
Filed under: Triticum aestivum (bread wheat)
Lineage: Eukaryota; Viridiplantae; Streptophyta; Magnoliopsida; Poales; Poaceae
Description: partial small subunit ribosomal RNA
Source: RNAcentral